This 439-nucleotide ribosomal RNA is filed under the name uncultured bacterium. RNAcentral's name for it is "partial 16S ribosomal RNA". It matches the Rfam family "Bacterial small subunit ribosomal RNA", at positions 339 to 795 of the family's 1533-position model. The record is from RNAcentral.
CUACGGGCGGCAGCAGUGAGGAAUAUUGCACAAUGGGGGGAACCCUGAUGCAGCAACGCCGCGUGGAGGAUGACGCAUUUCGGUGUGUAAACUCCUUUUAUAUGUCAAGAAAAUGACGGUAGCAUAUGAAUAAGCACCGGCUAACUCCGUGCCAGCAGCCGCGGUAAUACGGAGGGUGCAAGCGUUACUCGGAAUCACUGGGCGUAAAGGACGCGUAGGCGGGUUGGAAAGUCAGGUGUGAAAUCCUACAGCUUAACUGUAGAACUGCACUUGAAACUUCUAACCUAGAGUAUGGGAGGGGGAGAUGGAAUUAGUGGUGUAGGGGUAAAAUCCGCAGAUAUCACUAGGAAUACCUAAAGCGAAGGCGAUCUCCUGGAACAUUACUGACGCUAAGGCGUGAAAGCGUGGGGAGCAAACAGGAUUAGAUACCCCGGUAGUC